Phodopus roborovskii (desert hamster) is the source of this 243-nucleotide long non-coding RNA. RefSeq lists it as uncharacterized. The transcript is spliced from 3 exons. NCBI's taxonomy places the organism in Eukaryota, Metazoa, Chordata, Mammalia, Rodentia, Cricetidae. The record is from RefSeq and is a predicted model, not a curated record.
CUGGAUGAUUACCUGGAAAACAUGGGGAUAAAACUCACAGAGGACAAGAUGAUGAAACUGCUGGGCAAACUGCCAACUGACGCUAAUGGAAGACUAUACAAGAAAAGGUUGUUAAAAGAACUGGAGAAUAUUGAAGGGAUAAAGAUUCCUUCAAAUAAGGUGGGAGAGUUCAUUAAAAAUGCAGACAUUAAACUCGAUGAUAAAGACAUCCAGAUACUGAUGGACCGUCUGCCAGUUGAUCGU